Apis cerana (Asiatic honeybee) is the source of this 536-nucleotide long non-coding RNA. RefSeq lists it as uncharacterized. The record is from RefSeq and is a predicted model, not a curated record. NCBI's taxonomy places the organism in Eukaryota, Metazoa, Arthropoda, Insecta, Hymenoptera, Apidae.
AGUUUCCCUCCUCUUAAAGCAGAAUGCACACAAUCUGUGCGUGCACUCUCUUUCUCUUUCCUUUUCCAUUCUUAUCAAACCUGUAAAACACUGAUGAUAAGCGGUGAAGCUACUAAAACUCUUAAAGAACAGUCAACGACAUCACCUCGUAUUGCACCGCUAUUUAUACUUAGCGAAACGCGCUUUAAAAGGCAAACGUCAUCGGAAUGAAAACAAGGAAAAAAAAAACGAUGAUUCGAAAUGCUAUAGUCGCCUAAAAUUGAUUAUAUUUAGUCAGUUUGCAAAAAUGUUGAAAGAAAAGACAAGGAGACAAUAAAGAUAUACUGCGACUGUGUCAAGGUGAAGGCGCGUCUCAUCAACUACUUGGUGAAAGCAAAUGAAACAUCCAUUUGAUUGUAACUGUUCUUUCAAAUCAUGUGUUGGAAAUCUAAAUACUAAAUUUUAUUUAAAAAAAAAUUAAUAUCCAAAUUUUUAUACAAAUCUAUUAUUUUUAUCAACAUAAAGAAAAAUAAAUCUAUAUAAAAAUUGCUUUCAAA